ACCUGGCUAGCUCAGUUGGUCGAGCAUGGGACUCUUGAUCUCAGGAAUGUGCGUUUGAGCCCCGCACUGGGUG
RNAcentral lists this transfer RNA (73 nucleotides) under Pangasius djambal. Its description in RNAcentral is "tRNA-Lys". It matches the Rfam family "tRNA". From Rfam's summary of the family: Transfer RNA (tRNA) molecules are approximately 80 nucleotides in length. Their secondary structure includes four short double-helical elements and three loops (D, anti-codon, and T loops). Lineage: Eukaryota; Metazoa; Chordata; Actinopteri; Siluriformes; Pangasiidae. The record is from RNAcentral.